Molecule: long non-coding RNA, 1505 nt
Filed under: Homo sapiens (human)
Lineage: Eukaryota; Metazoa; Chordata; Mammalia; Primates; Hominidae
Description: non-protein coding lnc-CLDN23-1:7
Source: RNAcentral
AAGGGUUGCCACCACUCAGAGGAGCACAGCAGGAUUAGCCCCACACAGGUGAAAAGAAAGUGAAUGGUUCUUUCUGUGAGCAGAUUUUCUUUCUAAAACAAUGCCUCCUGCAGCUAAAGGAGGAAAAGAGGAAACCAACAAUACCAACAGCUAGGGGAAGAGAUAGGUGAGGUCUCUGUUUUCUGAUGAGGAAGCUAAGCCUUGGAAGCCAGGCUUCAAACCUAGCGGGGGCAUAAUGAUCUUUCCAGUGUACAUUUUUGCUUUUGCAAAUUAGAAGAGUUAUUAAGUUUAUGAGUCAGUAUCAUGAAGAUCAAGAUGAUAUCUAAAAGGUUACUGGCAUGCAGUUUCCAUAAUAUUGCUAGAAGACAAGACUGAAUCAUAGCCUCCCAGGAACAGAAGAAACCUCAAAAGUUAUCGAGGCUGUUGUUUGGCAGCAACUGGAGCUACGUCCAAGCUGAUACUUCUAAAGCUGCUGUGCUCAUAACUAGGGAAGCAGAAGAGGAGAUCGUCCUCCUGCCCUGGCAACCAGGGAUGAUGGCACGUGCCUAGGCUCAAGCAUGGCAAUUCUCCCAUCCAGAACUUGGAAUCUUCGGGAUCAUGAUUCUUGGCUAUGCAAACCUGAGGCUGAUGCAUCCUCCAGCAGCUGACCACGGACAUGUGCAGCAUCACAGUGACAGAUGGCAUUUCAACCACUUGGUUUACACCUUCCUCCACUGUCACCACCAUUCUGACAGAAAUGAGUUCCAUUUGCUCCAUUUUACAUAAGGGCAAAAGGCAGCAUUGACUCACCAAGUUUACACAGUUAGGGAAAAGAGCAACCAGGUCAGGAUCAGAUACAACAAAGAAGUGAUUGCAGAUGUUAAAUGGAACAUAGCUCUGGUCGUUUGAUAAAUAUUCAGUAAUUUCUUCAGUUUGUUAAGAAAAAUUAUCCAAAAUUUACAAUUACAGAGGAAGCAAAAUUUUACCUGUACCCUAUUUUUUUUUUUCUGGGGCUAAGAAUUAAAUUGACUUAAGACAGACAUAAGACAGAUCAACAGCAGAAGAACAAAUUUACUUAAUACAAGUUUUACAUGGCAGGAGAGACUACAUAAGGAAAUGCAGACCCAAAGGCACAGUUAGAUUGAACACUUACAUACAGAAUUAAAGAGUCAUGAAUUGUGAAAAUGUCACAAGGCCAAGAAGCUUGGGCUGAGUGGUUAAUUGAGUGAAAAAGUGGCUCGGAAGGUAUCUCCGCCCUAUGAAGGCCUUGAUGGGGAGCAACUCAGGCCUUGAAGGUAAAUGUCCUGUCCCACAGGUGCCAUGAGCUCCGGGAAGUAGAGACGUGAUCAGACUCCCCUGCUACAGCCUUGUACUUGUCACCGAAGGGAGAUGUGCAGGUGCAAGCCCGACCAAGGGACACCUCCGUGGCCAUGACAGCUUUUCUUCUUAAAAGAAAAAACCGGACCGUGGGUUCAGAAAUCCAAAUCCAUUUGUUUAUACUCGAUUCAUACCAAAGACUACAAAAU